AUUGAACGCUGGCGGCAGGCCUAACACAUGCAAGUCGAACGGUAACAGGAAGCAGCUUGCUGCUUCGCUGACGAGUGGCGGACGGGUGAGUAAUGUCUGGGAAGCUGCCUGAUGGAGGGGGAUAACUACUGGAAACGGUAGCUAAUACCGCAUAAUGUCGCAAGACCAAAGAGGGGGACCUUCGGGCCUCUUGCCAUCGGAUGUGCCCAGAUGGGAUUAGCUUGUUGGUGGGGUAACGGCUCACCAAGGCGACGAUCCCUAGCUGGUCUGAGAGGAUGACCAGCCACACUGGAACUGAGACACGGUCCAGACUCCUACGGGAGGCAGCAGUGGGGAAUAUUGCACAAUGGGCGCAAGCCUGAUGCAGCCAUGCCGCGUGUAUGAAGAAGGCCUUCGGGUUGUAAAGUACUUUCAGCGGGGAGGAAGGGAGUAAAGUUAAUACCUUUGCUCAUUGACGUUACCCGCAGAAGAGGCACCGGCUAACUCCGUG
This 490-nucleotide ribosomal RNA is filed under the name uncultured bacterium. Its description in RNAcentral is "partial 16S ribosomal RNA". It matches the Rfam family "Bacterial small subunit ribosomal RNA", at positions 30 to 507 of the family's 1533-position model. The record is from RNAcentral.